UUUUUUGUUCUUUCUUCUUUCCUUCUUCUCUCUUUCUUCCUUUUUCUUUUUCUUCCCCCACCAACCACACGACAAACCCUCAGGUCACACCACCGCAGCUCGUCGCCAUUAUCUGUUCACUGUCUGUCAGUCGCAGCCCGUCGCUCGUUUCACUGUCGUCAUCCGUUUGGCCACCGCUUGCUACUGGUCACAAACCUCGAUCAACGUCUGCGCGCUGUUCCGUCUCUGUUGUCUGCCAUCAGGUUUGACGUCAUUCCCUCACCUUCAACUGUUGCGCUGCCACCCAUCAGUCCUUCUCUCUCGUUCGCCCCUCGCUGCCUUCAAAGCCGCCAGCCACCAUUUCACUGGUCAACUCCACUGCCGCUGUUUGACUGCAGGCCCAUGCUUGGCAAAUCUCGUUCAUUGGCCAUGACGCAACAACGCCAAUCGCAGCCAUGUCCUAGGUGACCAUUGUCAGUGAGUUGCCUUGUUUGUCGCUGCGGCCUAUUAGUUCACUAUGAGAUUCACUUUUGGCGACAAUUAGUAAGUUACUCCUUCUAUGUUGGUAAGUGGUGCUUUGGACUACAAUUGACAAUUUUCUUGGGUUUAACUUCCGUUUGCUCAUUAAUUUCAACUCUCAGUUUUAUGAUUGAAAUAUUGGUUCUUAAAGGCUUGGUAAUCCUAUAGUCAUUAAUUUGUAUACGUGUUGGUGAUGCCUUUGAUUUGAUUAUUGAUUGGAAAUGGUGGUGAAGUUGAAGCUGCUCACUUGGAAAUUAACGAUUGUUGCUAUCGGGUAUUAUGGCUGACUUUCCAGUUCUGCUAAUGCAUAGUGGUUCAUUAUUGUUACACUUUGUUUUGAGGUUGAUUAGUUGUCUUGGGUGAUGGGAGUCCCUAAGAGGCUUGUAUUUAACCGUUGUGCUUGGAACUUGUUAACUAUCAUUGUUGAUUGUUGUUCUUGAUUGAGUGUGUAAAUGGCUAUGACAAAAACACCCUGUAAGUCUAAGACCACUAAAUGGAAUGCCGAGUUGAUGCACCCAUGUUCAUCGAAUGGAUGAUCGGUUGGCCAAUGUCGAGUUCCACAUGUCGUUUGCCUCUCACCUAUAGUUGUCCACGGUUCCCCUCCAUGCAAGUAUAGGCAUUUUUCUUGGAAUUUUUUCGUUCGACUUUGUCGAAGUUUAUCCAAUUUUUGCCACGUCUUGUGCAUUCUUGUGGUUAUUCCUAAUCAACAAUGGCUAGAUGUUUCAAAAUUUUCUAUUGCUAAGGUUUUAUAUGAUAAUGGGUCAAGCAUGACACGGUUAGGUCUAAAGCUAUCUCUCUGGUGAAUAUUUGCGAUUUUAUAACUUUUACAAUUUUUGGUUAAUUUUUUUAGGCAUUUUAAUUAUUUGUUUGGCAUUUUUUCACGUAAAUUGGUUCAAUUAUUAAUCUUAAUUAUCCAUGUUUGGAAAAUGAAGUAGGCUUGUGAUCUUUAAUUUUAUUUUGUUGCUUAUUUGUGAAUAAUAUUUAGCUGUAAUCCGCUAAUUAUCGUUGCCUAGUAACCGGGGGGUCUUCAUCAAAAGUAUCGACUUUCGUAUCAAAAAGUGGUGAUAGCUAUGAGUAUGUGGCCCUAAAGCGAUGAAAAGUUGAGUAACCAGACUUCUUCAUUUAGUAGAUGUCGCAGUUCGUGUCAAAGGCUUGAAUGGCUAAAGACUAAGCAUUUUUUUUAAAAAAAAAGUGAAAAAAAAUUGGAGGAAAGAAAAAAAUUUGUACUAAUAAUGAAAAAAAUGUACGAGAGUGUGAAUCAUUAUGUUAGCCUACUGAUCCAUGGAUUUUAAUGUCGAGAUUUUGCUUAAUAGUCGAACCAUUUGCAGUCAAAUGCUAGUUGAAUAUUUUAUAUCCUUAAAUUAGUUAGUUAGAAAUUGGAAGAAUCUUUGAUUUUGAAAACUAACCAAAGAGAUAUUUCUUAGAAUUUAGUCAAUAAUAUUUGACAUGUAUUUUAAUUGUAUAUUGGCAAUGGAUUAUUUGGAGCGAUAGCCAUUGUUCUCGCUUAAUUGCUGAUUAGUUGUUCUCAUGCUUGAGAAGAAGCAUGAUUUAGGUGUGGAAAAAUUGAUAGGGUGUAUUUUGUUGGUAUAUUUGUGGAUAUUUUUUCCUUUAUUUUGGACCAAAUAUUGUUUUAAUUGAUAAAUUCUAUUUAUAUUUAGUUAAUGGUGCUAAUUAUAGGGAGGUGGAUCAAAAGCUGAUAAAAGGAGUGAUUUUUCAAGAAUUACUGUCAAAUCCAGACGAUUCGGAAUUUACGCGCAUGGUGGUUUCCCAAUUUAAACUGAAGUCCUUUUCCAAAAUAUUCAGUUUUCCAUUUUGUAUUUGGAAACAAUAGCUGUCUUUUGUCGAUUUAGGAAAUAGCUUUUUUUCCUUAGGAAAAUUAGGAAAUAUUAAUAGUUUAGGAAAGAAAAGAAACGUGAAGGGAGUGAAGUCUUUGGUUGGCUGGUUUUUCACUUGAUUGGUACUUUGAAG
RNAcentral lists this long non-coding RNA (2466 nucleotides) under Coffea arabica (coffee). Its description in RNAcentral is "long non-coding RNA (CARA_LNC006656)". Lineage: Eukaryota; Viridiplantae; Streptophyta; Magnoliopsida; Gentianales; Rubiaceae. The record is from RNAcentral.